UUGUAGAUCUAUUAUCUAUGUACUUCCUUCUUGUUCACCCUUCACUGUCUGCUUCUGCUUGUGCGCUACACGUUCACUUUGCAGUAUUAACGGUUAGACAUUUUGUGUGCAUUUUUGAUAAAAGAUUUAAAAACGUAAUAAUACAUACAAAAUUUAUAUUACUACACGCCCUGGAAUUACAACUUUAUCUGUGAUACAUUUAGGAAUAAUUGUUUUCCUGCCUUUACCAAACGAAUUUUUCCUUCAGCAGUUCAACCUACUAGUACAGUAUCACAGUGGAUUCGCCUUCUAAGUCUUAAAGGACUUUGUUGUGGAGAGGUGAGGUAACUGAAAAUGUUUGAAAAUGAAUAAGAGUUGAACAUUCUGUAAAGUUGUAGAUAAUUUUUUUUAUUUAGUACUGUAAUUAAUUCGGUUUUCUUUAUUUCUGUGUAUUAUAUAUAGAUGACAAAGGAAACUGAAAUCCAUUUCGAUGCUACUAAAAAAACAAGUUCUAGCUGUGAAUGCAGACUAUAAGUACAUAUUGAUAUGAGAGUAAAUGUGGGAAAAGGAGUUUUCAUUAAAAGUGGUAAUUGGUUACUUUUUCUUGUUCGUUUUUGUAGAUUGUCCAUGAAAAGGAAUUCAGUUAAUUUUCGAUGCUAAUGAAGCAACUGAUCCAUUUGACGUAAGGGAGAGAACUGGAAAUUAAUUUGGAAACCACCCAAACAGAUUGUCUGCAGUGGUACUCUCCUAGAUUUGGAUUGCACAUUUCACAUUUGAACGCUACUUCUUCACUUAAGAUUAUCCAAGAAAAGAGAGAGACUUAAAGUCAGCUUGGUCAUACUGAAACCAGCAAUGUCUAGAUGGGUUUCAUCUUUCCUGGAGUAUAUACUUGAUUUGCUGCUUUGUCUUCACCUUGAACCAUUAUGCAGUCAAUUUUCAACCUACGAAUGAGAGCAACUGGAGGUUUCUUUGACUUCUUUUGAAACAACAAAUUUUCUGCUAUGGUAUUCCUCCUGGAUUUGGUUUGCUUUUCACACAUGCAAACUUUGGAAUG
Long non-coding RNA from Agrilus planipennis (emerald ash borer), 1033 nucleotides. RefSeq lists it as uncharacterized. NCBI's taxonomy places the organism in Eukaryota, Metazoa, Arthropoda, Insecta, Coleoptera, Buprestidae. The record is from RefSeq and is a predicted model, not a curated record. The transcript is spliced from 3 exons.